RNAcentral lists this ribosomal RNA (907 nucleotides) under uncultured archaeon. RNAcentral describes it as "bacterial SSU rRNA". It matches the Rfam family "Archaeal small subunit ribosomal RNA", at positions 10 to 922 of the family's 1478-position model. The record is from RNAcentral.
GAUCCCGCCGGAGGCCACUGCUAUUGGGAUCCGAUUAAGCCAUGCGAGUCGAGAGGGUUCGGCCCUCGGCAGACUGCUCAGUAACACGUGGAUAACCUAACCUUAGGUGGAAGAUAACCUCGGGAAACUGAGAAUAAUAUUCCAUAGAUCUAGGAUGCUGGAAUGCAUCUAGAUUGAAAGUUCCGACGCCUAAGGAUGGGUCUGCGGACUAUCAGGUUGUAGUCAGGGUAAAGACCUGACUAGCCUACGACGGAUAUGGGUUGUGAGAGCAAUAGCCCAGAGACGAUAUCUGAGACACGAUAUCGGGCCCUACGGGGCGCAGCAGGCGCGAAAUCUUCACAAUGUGCGAAAGCACGAUGAGGGGAUCCCAAGUGCUGGCACGUAAGUGUCAGCUGUUUCUUAGUCUAAAAAACUGAGAGAGUAAGGGCUGGGUAAGACGGGUGCCAGCCGCCGCGGUAAUACCUGCAGCUCAAGUGGUGGCCGCUAUUAUUGGGCCUAAAACGUCCGUAGCCUGUUUAGUAAAUGCUUGGGUAAAUUGUGUAGCUUAACUAUACGAAUACCGGGUAGACUGCUAAACUUGGGACCGGGAGAGGCUAGAGGUACUCCUGGGGUAGAGGUGAAAUUCUGUAAUCCUAGGGGGACCACCAGUGGCGAAGGCGUCUAGCUAGAACGGGUCUGACGGUGAGGGACGAAGCCCUGGGGCGCAAACCGGAUUAGAUACCCGGGUAGUCCAGGGUGUAAACGCUGCUUGCUUGAUGUUAGUUGGGCUCCGAGCCCAACUAGUGUCGGAGAGAAGUUGUUAAGCAAGCUGCCUGGGAAGUACGGUCGCAAGACUGAAACUUAAAGGAAUUGGCGGGGGAGCACAGCAACGGGUGGAGCGUGCGGUUUAAUUGGAUUCAACGCCGGG